UUUCACGGAGAGUUUGAUUCUGGCUCAGAACUAACGCUGGUGGCGUGUCUUAGUCAUGCAAGUCGAACGAGAAAGU
RNAcentral lists this ribosomal RNA (76 nucleotides) under Candidatus Latescibacterota bacterium. Its description in RNAcentral is "partial 16S ribosomal RNA". It matches the Rfam family "Bacterial small subunit ribosomal RNA", at positions 1 to 75 of the family's 1533-position model. The record is from RNAcentral. Lineage: Bacteria; Pseudomonadati; Candidatus Latescibacterota.